GACGAACGCUGGCGGCGUGCCUAAUACAUGCAAGUAGAACGCUGAAGAGAGGAGCUUGCUCUUCUUGGAUGAGUUGCGAACGGGUGAGUAACGCGUAGGUAACCUGCCUUGUAGCGGGGGAUAACUAUUGGAAACGAUAGCUAAUACCGCAUAACAAUGGCUGACACAUGUCAUUUAUUUGAAAGGGGCAAUUGCUCCACUACAAGAUGGACCUGCGUUGUAUUAGCUAGUAGGUGAGGUAAUGGCUCACCUAGGCGACGAUACAUAGCCGACCUGAGAGGGUGAUCGGCCACACGGGGACUGAGACACGGCCCAGACUCCUACGGGAGGCAGCAGUAGGGAAUCUUCGGCAAUGGGGGCAACCCUGACCGAGCAACGCCGCGUGAGUGAAGAAGGUUUUCGGAUCGUAAAGCUCUGUUGUAAGUCAAGAACGGGUGUGAGAGUGGAAAGUUCACACUGUGACGGUAGCUUACCAGAAAGGGACGGCUAACUACGUG
This 497-nucleotide ribosomal RNA is filed under the name uncultured bacterium. RNAcentral describes it as "partial 16S ribosomal RNA". It matches the Rfam family "Bacterial small subunit ribosomal RNA", at positions 28 to 507 of the family's 1533-position model. The record is from RNAcentral.